RNAcentral lists this ribosomal RNA (253 nucleotides) under uncultured bacterium. RNAcentral describes it as "partial 16S ribosomal RNA". It matches the Rfam family "Bacterial small subunit ribosomal RNA", at positions 524 to 776 of the family's 1533-position model. The record is from RNAcentral.
UACGGAGGGUGCAAGCGUUAUCCGGAUUUACUGGGUUUAAAGGGUGCGUAGGUGGGUCGGUAAGUCAGCGGUGAAAUCUUCGAGCUUAACUCGGAAACUGCCAUUGAUACUAUCGAUCUUGAAUCAUCUAGAGGUAAGCGGAAUAUGUCAUGUAGCGGUGAAAUGCUUAGAUAUGACAUAGAACACCAAUUGCGAAGGCAGCUUACUAUGGAUGCAUUGACACUGAGGCACGAAAGCGUGGGGAUCAAACAGG